RNAcentral lists this ribosomal RNA (253 nucleotides) under uncultured bacterium. Its description in RNAcentral is "partial 16S ribosomal RNA". It matches the Rfam family "Bacterial small subunit ribosomal RNA", at positions 524 to 776 of the family's 1533-position model. The record is from RNAcentral.
GACGGAGGGUGCUAGCGUUGUUCGGAAUCACUGGGCGUAAAGGGCGCGCAGGCGGCCGCGUCAGUCGGGUGUGAAAGCCCGGGGCUCAACCCCGGAGCGGCACCCGAGACGGCGCGGCUGGAGACCGGGAGAGGAGGGUGGAAUAGCCAGUGUAGAGGUGAAAUUCGUAGAUAUUGGCUGGAACACCGGUGGCGAAAGCGGCUCUCUGGCCCGGUUCUGACGCUGAGGCGCGAAAGCGUGGGGAGCAAACAGG